RNAcentral lists this ribosomal RNA (1444 nucleotides) under uncultured organism. Its description in RNAcentral is "SSU rRNA". It matches the Rfam family "Bacterial small subunit ribosomal RNA". The record is from RNAcentral.
ACAGGCUUAACACAUGCAAGUCGAGGGGCAGCAUGGUCUUAGCUUGCUAAGGCCGAUGGCGACCGGCGCACGGGUGAGUAACACGUAUCCAACCUGCCGUCUACUCUUGGACAGCCUUCUGAAAGGAAGAUUAAUACAAGAUGGCAUCAUGAGUCCGCAUGUUCACAUGAUUAAAGGUAUUCCGGUAGACGAUGGGGAUGCGUUCCAUUAGAUAGUAGGCGGGGUAACGGCCCACCUAGUCUUCGAUGGAUAGGGGUUCUGAGAGGAAGGUCCCCCACAUUGGAACUGAGACACGGUCCAAACUCCUACGGGAGGCAGCAGUGAGGAAUAUUGGUCAAUGGGCGAGAGCCUGAACCAGCCAAGUAGCGUGAAGGAUGACUGCCCUAUGGGUUGUAAACUUCUUUUAUAAAGGAAUAAAGUCGGGUAUGGAUACCCGUUUGCAUGUACUUUAUGAAUAAGGAUUGGCUAACUCCGUGCCAGCAGCCGCGGUAAUACGGAGGAUCCGAGCGUUAUCCGGAUUUAUUGGGUUUAAAGGGAGCGUAGAUGGAUGUUUAAGUCAGUUGUGAAAGUUUGCGGCUCAACCGUAAAAUUGCAGUUGAUACUGGAUAUCUUGAGUGCAGUUGAGGCAGGCGGAAUUCGUGGUGUAGCGGUGAAAUGCUUAGAUAUCACGAAGAACUCCGAUUGCGAAGGCAGCCUGCUAAGCUGCAACUGACAUUGAGGCUCGAAAGUGUGGGUAUCAAACAGGAUUAGAUACCCUGGUAGUCCACACGGUAAACGAUGAAUACUCGCUGUUUGCGAUAUACUGCAAGCGGCCAAGCGAAAGCGUUAAGUAUUCCACCUGGGGAGUACGCCGGCAACGGUGAAACUCAAAGGAAUUGACGGGGGCCCGCACAAGCGGAGGAACAUGUGGUUUAAUUCGAUGAUACGCGAGGAACCUUACCCGGGCUUAAAUUGCAGAUGAAUUACGGUGAAAGCCGUAAGCCGCAAGGCAUCUGUGAAGGUGCUGCAUGGUUGUCGUCAGCUCGUGCCGUGAGGUGUCGGCUUAAGUGCCAUAACGAGCGCAACCCUUGUUGUCAGUUACUAACAGGUUCCGCUGAGGACUCCGACAAGACUGCCAUCGUAAGAUGUGAGGAAGGUGGGGAUGACGUCAAAUCAGCACGGCCCUUACGUCCGGGGCUACACACGUGUUACAAUGGGGGGUACAGAGGGCCGCUACCACGCGAGUGGAUGCCAAUCCCCAAAACCUCUCUCAGUUCGGACUGGAGUCUGCAACCCGACUCCACGAAGCUGGAUUCGCUAGUAAUCGCGCAUCAGCCACGGCGCGGUGAAUACGUUCCCGGGCCUUGUACACACCGCCCGUCAAGCCAUGGGAGCCGGGGGUACCUGAAGUGCGUAACCGCGAGGAGCGCCCUAGGGUAAAACUGGUGACUGGGGCUAAGUCAUA